CGGAGGGUGCAAGCGUUAUCCGGAUUCACUGGGUUUAAAGGGUGCGUAGGAGGGCGGGUAAGUCAGUGGUGAAAUCCCCAAGCUUAACUUGGGAACUGCCGUUGAUACUAUCUGUCUUGAAUACCGUGGAGGUGAGCGGAAUAUGUCAUGUAGCGGUGAAAUGCUUAGAUAUGACAUAGAACACCAAUUGCGAAGGCAGCUCGCUACACGAAUAUUGACUCUGAGGCACGGAAGCGUGGGGAUCAAACAGGAUUAGAUACCCUGGUAGUCCACGCCCUAAACGAUGGAUACUCGACAUACGCGAUACACAGUGUGUGUCUGAGCGAAAGCAUUAAGUAUCCCACCUGGGAAGUACGACCGCAAGGUUG
RNAcentral lists this ribosomal RNA (368 nucleotides) under uncultured organism. RNAcentral's name for it is "bacterial SSU rRNA". It matches the Rfam family "Bacterial small subunit ribosomal RNA", at positions 526 to 896 of the family's 1533-position model. The record is from RNAcentral.